RNAcentral lists this transfer RNA (66 nucleotides) under Macroscytus gibbulus. RNAcentral's name for it is "tRNA-Ile". Lineage: Eukaryota; Metazoa; Arthropoda; Insecta; Hemiptera; Cydnidae. The record is from RNAcentral.
AAUAAGAUGCCUGAUUUAAAAGGACUAUUUUGAUAGAAUAGAUCAUGUAUUCAUUUACUCUUAUUG